RNAcentral lists this long non-coding RNA (253 nucleotides) under Rattus norvegicus (Norway rat). RNAcentral's name for it is "long non-coding RNA NONRATT032248". Lineage: Eukaryota; Metazoa; Chordata; Mammalia; Rodentia; Muridae. The record is from RNAcentral.
UUUUAUCUGUGGAAUGGAGCCAACUUGUAAUGUACAGCUUACAGGACCAUUAUGGAAAAUAUCCUUAAAACUGGCAAUUAAAUCCAAAGGUCCAAAGGUGGCAUCCAAGGACACGUGUUUGUCCCAUGGCAUGGCAUCCUUGAUGCUUCAUUUUAAAUGGACUUGGAUAGGACUGGCCAUUACAGAUGAUGACGAAGGUAUUCAGUUUCUCUCAGACUUGAGAGAAGAAAUGCAAAGGUGGCUUCUUUGGUGA